Molecule: non-coding RNA, 304 nt
Organism: Benincasa hispida (wax gourd)
Lineage: Eukaryota; Viridiplantae; Streptophyta; Magnoliopsida; Cucurbitales; Cucurbitaceae
Source: RefSeq, a predicted model, not a curated record
AGGCCAAUUAUCUAUUAAAGUUUGGUAACCAACAGAAGUGGGUUUUGGAAAUAAGUUUAAACCGAGCUAUAGUUUAGGUGUUGCUUGUCUUGAAAAAGGAUAAGCUUGCUUGGGCUUCUUUGGAUUUAACUUUGAGUGUGGAAGCAAUGGAGGGAUUCUCUAAGUUUAUUUCAUAGACACAUUCUAAUAUCAAUGAGUGGAGCUAGUAGCUAUGACGGAGGAGUAGCAACUCAAAUGUUAAGUAUUGUCUUACAAGCAAUUCAAUUGAUUUUUAGUGGAAUGAGUUAGCGGCUUGAUUGAAGAG